GGAUUCAAAACUGAUUAACAUUAAUUUCAAAAUGGCCAAUCUUCUUGUGGUCCUUUUUAUACUUUUACUUCAAAUUACAGGAUUCUUGUGUCAAACUGCUACAGCUGCAAAUCCAGUAUGGGGUAUUGCAGUGUUAGUGCUGGCAGGAAUCACACUCUUUCUAAUUUUGGUGGGCUGUGGUUGUGUGAUUGCCUUCCGACAGAGAUAACAGCCAAUUUGACGAUAUUCCCUACAGGCUGAAAAGAACAGAACAUCAUUUUGGAAAAGCAUAAUCCUAUGUAUUUUUUCAUUAUGAUUAAUGCCAUUGUGUAUAUUUUGGUAUCAGUGAAGAAAUAUUCCCCAGUGUUGCUCAGAUAAGAAAUAGGAAGCCAGUCAACAUCAUACUCCCAACUUUUAUUUUAUUUCUGAUUUCACCAAUUUUCACAACAACUUUACCACUUGUAGUUUUAUUAUUAUGUUUACCCAACACUUAUUAUAUUUAUUUGUAAAAAGAAUGAUUUUCUUUUUUGCACAAUGAUGCAGAUCAAUGUAGGACUGUUGUUGUGUAUAUACACUGUAUAUAGGCAUUCGUUUUGUAAAACUCU
Long non-coding RNA from Xenopus tropicalis (tropical clawed frog), 584 nucleotides. RefSeq lists it as uncharacterized. The record is from RefSeq and is a predicted model, not a curated record. The transcript has 4 exons. Lineage: Eukaryota; Metazoa; Chordata; Amphibia; Anura; Pipidae.